RNAcentral lists this ribosomal RNA (1345 nucleotides) under uncultured bacterium. RNAcentral describes it as "bacterial SSU rRNA". It matches the Rfam family "Bacterial small subunit ribosomal RNA", at positions 28 to 1381 of the family's 1533-position model. The record is from RNAcentral.
GAUGAACGCUAGCGGGAGGCCUAACACAUGCAAGCCGAGCGGUAGAAGAUCUUCGGAUCUUUGAGAGCGGCGUACGGGUGCGGAACACGUAUGCAACCUGCCUUUAUCAGGGGGAUAGCCUUUCGAAAGGAAGAUUAAUACCCCAUAAUAUAAUGAGUGGCAUCACUUAUUAUUGAAAACUCCGGUGGAUAGAGAUGGGCACGCGCAAGAUUAGAUAGUUGGUAGGGUAACGGCCUACCAAGUCAGUGAUCUUUAGGGGGCCUGAGAGGGUGAUCCCCCACACUGGUACUGAGACACGGACCAGACUCCUACGGGAGGCAGCAGUGAGGAAUAUUGGACAAUGGGUGAGAGCCUGAUCCAGCCAUCCCGCGUGAAGGACGACGGCCCUAUGGGUUGUAAACUUCUUUUGUAUAGGGAUAAACCUUUCCACGUGUGGAAAGCUGAAGGUACUAUACGAAUAAGCACCGGCUAACUCCGUGCCAGCAGCCGCGGUAAUACGGAGGGUGCAAGCGUUAUCCGGAUUUAUUGGGUUUAAAGGGUCCGUAGGCGGAUCUGUAAGUCAGUGGUGAAAUCUCAUAGCUUAACUAUGAAACUGCCAUUGAUACUGCAGGUCUUGAGUAAAGUAGAAGUGGCUGGAAUAAGUAGUGUAGCGGUGAAAUGCAUAGAUAUUACUUAGAACACCAAUUGCGAAGGCAGGUCACUAUGUUUUAACUGACGCUGAUGGACGAAAGCGUGGGGAGCGAACAGGAUUAGAUACCCUGGUAGUCCACGCCGUAAACGAUGCUAACUCGUUUUUGGGUUUUCGGAUUCAGAGACUAAGCGAAAGUGAUAAGUUAGCCACCUGGGGAGUACGUUCGCAAGAAUGAAACCCAAAGGAAUUGACGGGGGCCCGCACAAGCGGUGGAUUAUGUGGUUUAAUUCGAUGAUACGCGAGGAACCUUACCAAGGCUUAAAUGGGAAUUGACAGGUUUAGAAAUAGACUUUUCUUCGGACAAUUUUCAAGGUGCUGCAUGGUUGUCGUCAGCUCGUGCCGUGAGGUGUUAGGUUAAGUCCUGCAACGAGCGCAACCCCUGUCACUAGUUGCCAUCAUUCAGUUGGGGACUCUAGUGAGACUGCCUACGCAAGUAGAGAGGAAGGUGGGGAUGACGUCAAAUCAUCACGGCCCUUACGCCUUGGGCCACACACGUAAUACAAUGGCCGGUACAGAGGGCAGCUACCUAGCGAUAGGAUGCGAAUCUCGAAAGCCGGUCUCAGUUCGGAUUGGAGUCUGCAACUCGACUCUAUGAAGCUGGAAUCGCUAGUAAUCGCGCAUCAGCCAUGGCGCGGUGAAUACGUUCCCGGGCCU